UACUCGGUGGUGUAACGGUAGCACAGGGGCCUUUGACGCCCUUAGUCAAGGUUCAAAUCCUUGCCGGGUAACCA
RNAcentral lists this transfer RNA (74 nucleotides) under Pseudomonadota bacterium. RNAcentral describes it as "Proteobacteria bacterium (freshwater metagenome) tRNA-Gln". It matches the Rfam family "tRNA". Rfam says of the family: Transfer RNA (tRNA) molecules are approximately 80 nucleotides in length. Their secondary structure includes four short double-helical elements and three loops (D, anti-codon, and T loops). Further hydrogen bonds mediate the characteristic L-shaped molecular structure. tRNAs have two regions of fundamental functional importance: the anti-codon, which is responsible for specific mRNA codon recognition, and the 3' end, to which the tRNAs corresponding amino acid is attached (by aminoacyl-tRNA synthetases). tRNAs cope with the degeneracy of the genetic code in two manners: having more than one tRNA (with a specific anti-codon) for a particular amino acid; and 'wobble' base-pairing, i.e. permitting non-standard base-pairing at the 3rd anti-codon position. The record is from RNAcentral. Lineage: Bacteria; Pseudomonadati; Pseudomonadota. RNAcentral also lists the same sequence under 2 other names.